UAGUAGGACUUGUACAGUUGGAGUAGCACGAGUACUACUAUCAGUAGUACUAGUAGUAUGUACUAGUCCAACUACUACUAG
RNAcentral lists this transfer RNA (81 nucleotides) under Amborella trichopoda. RNAcentral describes it as "tRNA AMTR_s01044t00273400". The record is from RNAcentral. Lineage: Eukaryota; Viridiplantae; Streptophyta; Magnoliopsida; Amborellales; Amborellaceae.